RNAcentral lists this ribosomal RNA (468 nucleotides) under uncultured bacterium. RNAcentral describes it as "bacterial SSU rRNA". It matches the Rfam family "Bacterial small subunit ribosomal RNA", at positions 335 to 799 of the family's 1533-position model. The record is from RNAcentral.
ACUCCUACGGGAGGCAGCAGUGAGGAAUAUUGGUCAAUGGAGGGAACUCUGAACCAGCCAUCCCGCGUGUAGGAAGACGGCCUUAUGGGUUGUAAACUACUUUUAUACAGGAAGAAACGUACCCUCGUGAGGGUGCCUGACGGUAUCUUGNAUGGAAAAGCACCGGCUAACUCCGUGCCAGCAGCCGCGGUAAUACGGAGGGUGCGAGCGUUAUCCGGAUUUAUUGGGUUUAAAGGUCCGUAGGCGGGUUAAUAAGUCAGUGGUGAAAUCCCAUCGCUUAACGAUGGAACUGCCAUUGAUACUGUUAGUCUUGAAUGAGGGUGCAGUGGUUGGAAUGUGUAGUGUAGCGGGUGAAAUGCAUAGAUAUUACACAGAACACCGAUUGCGAAGGCAGAUCACUAACCCUAAAUUGACGCUGAGGGACGAAAGCGUGGGGAGCGAACAGGAUUAGAUACCCUGUAGACUGUC